GUUAGGGAACUCCUUCUACCAAUGCUGGUCCAGAGCUCUAUCCAGUGCACUACCUAGCUGCCUGCCUUGCUCAAAAUCAUACAAAUAGAAGGAAGUAUCAGAGAUAAGACUCAAUCCCAGGAUUUGCAGAAAUAACUUCAGUGAUUUGCCUUCUUGUUCCCCACUUGGCUGCAGAGUGACAUCCGGAAUAUCAUGUAAAGAUGCUGGCAAAGAUUACAUUUAUUGGAGUUUUGUCCUUCUAGAUUUCCAGGGGGAGGAUGGUAGUGACAGGAAGCUGCUGGGAACCUUCCUGGAGACUCACCUUGGUCCAGAUCUGCUCAUUCCUUCUCAUAGCCCUGAACAGACCUUAGCUCCACCAUCUGCCUUAGAACUUGCUAUUCCCAGACCGGGGAAGCCAAAAGUGCAAGACGUGGAGAGCCUGACUUGCCCAUUCUCAUAGUUCCAGGCCAUAACAUGCAGUAACUGAGUUGGUAAAAGGCUACCAUCAACCUUGUAAUAUCAGGCCAUGGCUUGAGGUCUCCCUCUGAUACUUCAGAACAAGGAAGAACACAGACAGCUUCUGCCCGUCAGAACAAGCUGGGAUGGAAAAUAAACUCUGUAAUGACCAAAGGGAAGAAUUUCAAGGGGGCAAAUUAAGUCAACUAGUCAGAACACUAGAAUUAUGUUCAUCUUGUCUCUUGAUCUGGUAAUGUAUGUAUAAAACCGAAUAUCCACCUCUGUGCAUGGCAUCCCACCUCUA
This is a non-coding RNA of Phascolarctos cinereus (koala), 739 nucleotides long. The record is from RefSeq and is a predicted model, not a curated record. NCBI's taxonomy places the organism in Eukaryota, Metazoa, Chordata, Mammalia, Diprotodontia, Phascolarctidae.